Long non-coding RNA from Fukomys damarensis (Damara mole-rat), 1639 nucleotides. NCBI's taxonomy places the organism in Eukaryota, Metazoa, Chordata, Mammalia, Rodentia, Bathyergidae. The record is from Ensembl.
GAUGACCUUUUAAUCCUCUUUCCCAUUGUCAGUGAUCUCUUUAGGAUCCUAUGCACUAUCAUAGUUUAUUCACACCAGAGCAACUAUUCAGUAUUUCCACAUGUGUGACUUAUGUAUUUCCCUUUGGAGGAUAUCAUACUCAGGCACAUAUCGCAGGGAUAGCCCAGGCAGUGUGUGCUAGUGCUGUUUAAUCCACCCAUUGAGCCAAGGCCAUUGUUCUGCUAAAUUGGUCUUGCCAUCUCGAUUUCCUCCUGAGAUGUAUUCGACUGAAACUUUGUGGGAGGAAAUAGAUGUGGAUUUUAUAUUGAGAGGCCUAAGAUUGGAGUCAAUGAGGCAAAUUUGGAAAGCUGAGAUAAUAAUUCAGUGUGGUCAGAGGAUGCUAGAGUGUCAGAGUGUGCAGUUAGGGUGAGGGCCAUGACAGAGCUCAGCUGUCAUAAUGCCAGGAAGUGGGCAGCUUGGAACGUUUUCCACGGUUGCCAGGGAAGGCUGGAUUGUGGUAACCAUGGAGACUGCAGCAGACAGGCUUGGCCCCGAGAGUGAACCUCACCAUUUGGGCAGAUGUCCUGGCUCCUGCCCAAACAUGCAUGAGAGAUGUCACACUGAGGACAUCGUGAGGAUUUGUAUCUCUCACUCAUGUGGGACGAAGGUGGAUGACAUACCAUGCUUUGUGGCGAGGUCUUCUAUUUAUGGAAAGAAAGUCCCAGUGACAUUCACUGUGCCUCUCUCACCGGUUCUCCGGCCCUUGAGAACAUUAGAGCCUCCUGCUCCCUCCUAAGAAGCCACUGCUGAGGACAGUGUGAAAACACAGCCACUGGAGGAACAGGUUCCCUUCUGACCAUCUGGCUUUCUUCACAAUCUCAGAGACCCUAGAGCCCUGGAUGCUGCUUUAUCCCCUCACCGUCCCACAUGUCUCUACUUCCUUCUAUCAUGGCUUCCCUGACUUCUUUGGUUCCACUCCCAGUUGUCCAAUUUUCUCUUUUUUGGGAAGGUGAGUGAUUUCAGCCCUCAAAUGACAUGUCGGAUAUGACCUUUGUCCUUAACCGUCUUGGGGAUUGUGCUUCUCAACAUUCCGAAACAUGCUUUGGACGUGUUUUGUGCCACAGCAUUGUAAGACUAGAACAUGGUGGCUCAGUCCAUGACGUAAAUGUGUCUGAGAUGCAUUCAACUAUUGCAGUUGGUAUGUCCUGGCCUGUCCUUUGUUCUGGAAUUUCAGGACGCAUCUCUCCUUAUUUCCUGAAUUGGCUUCUUCUUUCUGCAAAGACUUGAAAAUAGGCCUGUGCUGGGAUUUGGGGGCCUGUGUGACAUGUCAAAUUAAGGGAGACCCAGCCAGGGCCUUUGAUCUUUUGGGCAGCUCUGUCUAUUUGGAACGUCUGGGUUCAGUUCCUGCUGCACCUCAUCUGAACAGGCCACUUACUGCCCGGUGGAGGAACCAGCCAUCAUGAUGCCCUGCCUUUCCAAUUUGGCCCUUGCUCCAAGAAGAAUGGUUUGAGACCAAAGGAGAAGGGCCUUUUGCCCUGAGUUAAACAGCAAAACGUCUUAGAGUGCUGAGGUUCAGGGAACUUUCAUAGGGGAACCUCAAGCAUUCAGGUGUUUCAUCUGCUCAUCUGGUGCUUGAGUGAGGGCUGUAGUGUUGUGAAAA